RNAcentral lists this small nucleolar RNA (146 nucleotides) under Neotoma lepida (desert woodrat). RNAcentral describes it as "Small nucleolar RNA SNORA55". It matches the Rfam family "Small nucleolar RNA SNORA55". From Rfam's summary of the family: ACA55 is a member of the H/ACA class of snoRNA that guide the sites of modification of uridines to pseudouridines. Lineage: Eukaryota; Metazoa; Chordata; Mammalia; Rodentia; Cricetidae. The record is from Rfam by way of RNAcentral.
GUGCCUAAAAAGAACCCCAGUAAGCCAGGUGUGCUGGUGGAUGUGCUGGUCUGGGGACAGACGGUGCUACAGUACAGUAGAGAGGAUACCCCGAUGCCUCAUUUUCCAUUUGUCCUGGAGCCUGUCUCUACAGCUCUGCCACACUU